GCAUUCUCAAAAUGUUGAGGCUGAUAACUACCAAAUAUAUUAUCAAGUGAUUAAAAACUUGGAUACCUUGAUAUUUGUGGAGUCAUGUAUGGCACAAUCUCUGUAUGUUGAUAUGUCAUACCUGAUGCCUGAGUGAAUUCCUGAGUACAACCCAUUGAAGUGGAACCAAAAUCAUGAUUAGUUGUUGCUUGAUCAUCUUCUGAAAUUAUUUGUGCAUUUUGUGUUGCUUCAUCC
RNAcentral lists this long non-coding RNA (234 nucleotides) under Capsicum annuum. Its description in RNAcentral is "long non-coding RNA (CANN_LNC018022)". Lineage: Eukaryota; Viridiplantae; Streptophyta; Magnoliopsida; Solanales; Solanaceae. The record is from RNAcentral.